Molecule: long non-coding RNA, 2763 nt
Organism: Dioscorea cayenensis subsp. rotundata (Guinea yam)
Lineage: Eukaryota; Viridiplantae; Streptophyta; Magnoliopsida; Dioscoreales; Dioscoreaceae
Exons: 3
Source: RefSeq, a predicted model, not a curated record
GGUUUGUUCCUCCACUUCUAUACCAUGUUUUCUUGUUUUUUGGCAUUUUGUUGCCAAGAUAUUCAGUCUGCUUUACAGACGUAUGGUUCGAUAUUUUUUAUUUUUUUAGGGUUCGCUCAUGCACUUGUAUACCAUCUUUUCUUGUUUUUUACAUCUCGUUGUCACUAUUUUCAGUCUGCCAAAUAGAUGUAUUGUUGGAUUUGUGUUUUUUUGGGUUUGAUCCUACACUUGGAUACCUUGAAUUUGUGUGUUAUUCCUCAAAAACCAUUGGUAGGUUGGAUGCAUUUUAUUGUCUGGGAUUUUUAACAGUCCUUUUAAAUGUUGUUCAUUGUUGUUUUGUGCAUGCUUGUUAUGUGUUGUUUUCCCAUUGAUUUAUAUUCAGAUCUGUAAUGGUAAGUUACUGCAUGGUAUUUUCAUUUCAAAUUGUUGUGGAUUAAUUUGUGAAGGUUUUUUUAUGCCUUUGAUCUAUAAAAUAUUUUCCUAUUUCCAAUUGGGUAAUUUCUACUUUUAAUCCAUUAUUUCAUGCUUCUCCCUCUGUUGGAGAUCUCUUCCCCUUGACGCAAAUAACUAGCUGCUAUGUUUGGUUAGUGUCUUCUUCUUUACAAGGUUAGCAACAACUACAGUUGUUAUCUUUGUUACAUCCAUAUAUCUGCAUUGUUUGUUAUGUUGAUGUUAUCCUCAUAUUUAAUCUAAUUUCGUGCAUUGUUUUUGAAUUCUUAUACAUGUUUGCAUUAAUUCUUUUUGUGUCUAUGUCUUUGGUUUUUCCCCAGAAGUGUUACCAUUGCAAUGAUAUCUUCAGGUCUUCAUUAUUUCUGGUUGUCAUUUCUGUUAUGCUUGUGAUUCUGUGAGACAUUGUACUCUUGGUUUGUAUUAUUCUUAUCCACACACUAUAUAUAUAUUUUUUGAAUUCUUUUGCUUUCUUCAUCGUAUUUCCCUUUGCUUAUUUCCAUUUCAUGUCAUUAUGUUCCAAUUGGCCUUCUCUAUACCAUUUAAAUGUGCACUCUACAUGAAUUUGCAUGUUAAUUGUUUCAAUAUGUUAUAUGCACUGAUUGUUUUUUGUUUUACCAUGUAUUUUUCCAUUGAUUAUGUGUCUCUAUUGAUUCUUGUUUCUAUUGAUUAUGCAUUUAUUUUUUAUUUUAUUAGUAUGUAUAUUUUUGUUAGGUGCCAAUUUGUUGCUUGUUGUUUUUUUUACUUUGAAUGUAUGACCUGGUUUCUAUUUUAUUUUAUUGUUGGUAUAAUGUGCUAGAUGCAAACUUGGAUAUGUUUUGUCCUAGGUCUUUUUGACCCCAAGUAGUUUAGCAAUAUCAAUUUAAAUGGGUCAACGUCUAAAUGUGCUCUUGUAGAUGGAUGAUUGGGUAGUUGAUAAGUGGGCAAGGACUCUCGCAACAGCCUUUACAACAAUUGUUGUCAUUGUGGCCUUUUUAUUUGAAGAUAUGCAGUUGCCUAGGUUAUCAAGUUGCCCACAACCAUCAAUGUUUAGGGACCUAACUAGAUGACACCAUAUGAAUCGAAUCCUAAGAAGUGGAUGUGACUAUUGUGUUAGCUACCUCAGUAUGGAUGUAGGUCUUUUCAUGCACUUAUCAUCCAUGAUGAGUGAUAAGCAUUUGCUCAUGGAUACGAGGCAUGUUUUAGUAGAGGAACAAUUGGUGAUAUUCUUCCAUAUAGUUGGUCAUAAUACGAAGAAUAGAAUCAUGCGAAUAGAGUUUGUUCAAUCGGGUGAAACAAUUAGCUGAUAUUUCAACAAUGUGUUAUGAGCCCUUUGUGCAAUACAUGAUGAUUUUGUCCAAGCACCUGGCACUUGUCAUCCAGAAAUCGAAAAUCACCCAAGUCGGAACCCAUAUUUCAAGGAUUGCAUUGGGUUGUUAGACGAUACGCACAUUGAUGCAUCCGUCCUGUCCCUUGAGUUGCCUCGAUUUCGUAGUAGGAAGGGACCAACACAAAACGUGCUAGCAGUGGUGAACCCUAAUCUCAAAAAUUACUUAUGUGAUAGUAGGGUGGGAAGGCUCAGCAAACGACUUCACCGUCUUAAGGGAUGCGUUGUUGCGGCCACAUCCUAAAGGCCUCAAGCUAAUAGAAGUUACGGUAUAGUUUUAAUGGCAACGAUGAUGACCAAGAGUCAACGAAAGAAUUGAGGCAUUUGUCCCCGAUGAAAUGGUGUUUUGCUGUGCUCUUGGGUUAUUUUGAUGCAUUGUCAGGCCAAAUCUCUGCGGCCAAUUGCAUCUUAAAACCAUAGCACGUGUUGUCGGGCUCGUAAUAGGUUGUGAGUACGGUGGGGCAAUGGGCCAUACAACGCCUUUUGCAGCCUACUUGCAACUUGUUACUGAAUUUGCUCAACCGGCAAGAUGCACUUUUGUGAAAACAAAACUAUAUUUUGUAGGUUUUAUCGAAUUCUGUCUUUACCUUGUUGCUUGUUGGUUGUAAUUUCCCUUUUUUUUAUUUUUUAUUUUUUCAUAUUGUGUGUUGGUGGACUUAAAAAUGCCAAUGAAAUGCUACUGGUACAUGGGCUUAUGCCCCCUGAGCCAUUUUUUAAGAUGCACAGAGUAGCAACUGGGAGGCUUUUGGCUGAACAAGACAUAGAUACUUGAAGACUUGCAUGUUAGGAGAAUUUGAUAAUUGUAAGUACAAAAUCUUCUUGGCAAGGUUAGCUUGUACCGUAUGGGGUUUAUGAGUCUGGACUUUGUUGACAUUUGGACCUUUUAUAUACAAGUGUAAGAACAUAAGUCUCAUUUUUGUAGAGAUUUCCAUAUUUUAAUGAGUUAUGCA